AAAUUGAAGAGUUUGAUCAUGGCUCAGAUUGAACGCUGGCGGCAGGCCUAACACAUGCAAGUCGAACGGUAACAGGAAGCAGCUUGCUGCUUCGCUGACGAGUGGCGGACGGGUGAGUAAUGUCUGGGAAACUGCCUGAUGGAGGGGGAUAACUACUGGAAACGGUGGCUAAUACCGCAUAACGUCGCAAGACCAAAGAGGGGGACCUUCGGGCCUCUUGCCAUCAGAUGUGCCCAGAUGGGAUUAGCUAGUUGGUGAGGUAACGGCUCACCAAGGCGACGAUCCCUAGCUGGUCUGAGAGGAUGACCAGCCACACUGGAACUGAGACACGGUCCAGACUCCUACGGGAGGCAGCAGUGGGGAAUAUUGCACAAUGGGCGCAAGCCUGAUGCAGCCAUGCCGCGUGUAUGAAGAAGGCCUUCGGGUUGUAAAGUACUUUCAGCGGGGAGGAAGGUGUUGUGGUUAAUAACCGCAGCAAUUGACGUUACCCGCAGAAGAAGCACCGGCUAACUCCGUGCCAGCAGCCGCGGUAAUACGGAGGGUGCAAGCGUUAAUCGGAAUUACUGGGCGUAAAGCGCACGCAGGCGGUCUGUCAAGUCGGAUGUGAAAUCCCCGGGCUCAACCUGGGAACUGCAUUCGAAACUGGCAGGCUUGAGUCUUGUAGAGGGGGGUAGAAUUCC
This 680-nucleotide ribosomal RNA is filed under the name Salmonella enterica subsp. enterica serovar Bovismorbificans. RNAcentral's name for it is "bacterial SSU rRNA". It matches the Rfam family "Bacterial small subunit ribosomal RNA", at positions 1 to 670 of the family's 1533-position model. RNAcentral also lists the same sequence under 1 other name. Lineage: Bacteria; Pseudomonadati; Pseudomonadota; Gammaproteobacteria; Enterobacterales; Enterobacteriaceae. The record is from RNAcentral.